CCUACGGGGGGCUGCAGUGGGGAAUAUAGGACAAUGGGGGCAACCCUGAUCCAGCCAUGCCGCGUGUGUGAAGAAGGCCCUCGGGUUGUAAAGCACUUUCAGUGAGGAAGAACGCCUGGUGGUUAAUACCCAUCAGGAAAGACAUCACUCACAGAAGAAGCACCGGCUAACUCCGUGCCAGCAGCCGCGGUAAUACGGAGGGUGCGAGCGUUAAUCGGAAUUACUGGGCGUAAAGCGCGCGUAGGUGGCUUGAUAAGCCGGUUGUGAAAGCCCCGGGCUCAACCUGGGAACGGCAUCCGGAACUGUCAAGCUAGAGUGCAGGAGAGGAAGGUAGAAUUCCCGGUGUAGCGGUGAAAUGCGUAGAGAUCGGGAGGAAUACCAGUGGCGAAGGCGGCCUUCUGGACUGACACUGACACUGAGGUGCGAAAGCGUGGGUAGCAAACAGGAUUAGAUACCCCGGUAGUC
This 465-nucleotide ribosomal RNA is filed under the name Vreelandella stevensii. RNAcentral describes it as "partial 16S ribosomal RNA". It matches the Rfam family "Bacterial small subunit ribosomal RNA", at positions 338 to 795 of the family's 1533-position model. The record is from RNAcentral. Lineage: Bacteria; Pseudomonadati; Pseudomonadota; Gammaproteobacteria; Oceanospirillales; Halomonadaceae.